This 73-nucleotide transfer RNA is filed under the name Apaloderma vittatum (bar-tailed trogon). It matches the Rfam family "tRNA". From Rfam's summary of the family: Transfer RNA (tRNA) molecules are approximately 80 nucleotides in length. Their secondary structure includes four short double-helical elements and three loops (D, anti-codon, and T loops). Further hydrogen bonds mediate the characteristic L-shaped molecular structure. tRNAs have two regions of fundamental functional importance: the anti-codon, which is responsible for specific mRNA codon recognition, and the 3' end, to which the tRNAs corresponding amino acid is attached (by aminoacyl-tRNA synthetases). tRNAs cope with the degeneracy of the genetic code in two manners: having more than one tRNA (with a specific anti-codon) for a particular amino acid; and 'wobble' base-pairing, i.e. permitting non-standard base-pairing at the 3rd anti-codon position. Lineage: Eukaryota; Metazoa; Chordata; Aves; Trogoniformes; Trogonidae. The record is from Rfam by way of RNAcentral.
GGCCAGUUAGCUCAGCAGGUUAGAGCAUGGUGCUGAUAACACCAAGGUCGCAGGUUCUAUUCCCGUUGGGUCC